GACGAACGCUGGCGGCGUGCUUAACACAUGCAAGUCGAACGGUAAGGCCCUUCGGGGUACACGAGUGGCGAACGGGUGAGUAACACGUGGGUGAUCUGCCCUGCACUUCGGGAUAAGCCUGGGAAACUGGGUCUAAUACCGGAUAGGACCACUGCCUGCAUGGGUGGUGGUGGAAAGCUUUUGCGGUGUGGGAUGGGCCCGCGGCCUAUCAGCUUGUUGGUGGGGUGACGGCCUACCAAGGCGACGACGGGUAGCCGGCCUGAGAGGGUGACCGGCCACACUGGGACUGAGAUACGGCCCAGACUCCUACGGGAGGCAGCAGUGGGGAAUAUUGCACAAUGGGCGCAAGCCUGAUGCAGCGACGCCGCGUGAGGGAUGACGGCCUUCGGGUUGUAAACCUCUUUCAGCACCGACAAAGCGCAAGUGACGGUAGGUGCAGAAGAAGGACCGGCCAACUACGUGCCAGCAGCCGCAGUAA
This 478-nucleotide ribosomal RNA is filed under the name uncultured bacterium. Its description in RNAcentral is "partial 16S ribosomal RNA". It matches the Rfam family "Bacterial small subunit ribosomal RNA", at positions 28 to 523 of the family's 1533-position model. The record is from RNAcentral.